Non-coding RNA from Plutella xylostella (diamondback moth), 557 nucleotides. The record is from RefSeq and is a predicted model, not a curated record. NCBI's taxonomy places the organism in Eukaryota, Metazoa, Arthropoda, Insecta, Lepidoptera, Plutellidae.
GCGCGAUUCACAUCUCAACCGAAAUAUUUGUAAAGCGAUACGAACGAGUUACGAGAUGAAAUCCGCAAUGUUUAAAAACGCGAUUCAUAGCACACAUACUUUGAUCUCGUUUUCAUAUCGCUAGUUCGUAUUUGGAUGGCUUGAGUGAAAUGAAUGAAACUAUAUUUUUUUUAAUUGCCAUGCAAAAAUUAUAAAUACUACCACUAAUUGUUUUAAAUAAUUUUGUUCCUACAAUAUAUUUUGUUGGAAUUAGUGUCGAUAGCAAGUAUCAAGAAACAGCUUUUUAAUUCAACGUUGAAGAAAUUCAUAACCUGUGGCACUUUUGACAGCCGCCAUGUUUUCUCCAUAAAAACAUUGAUUUUCUUUGCUCAUUUUCGUGUCAACGUAGUUUUUUUGGAAAAUAAGAAGAAAGGAAGUUUAACUUACUUAGAGAAAUACGACUGAGACAUAAACACAAGCAGCAGCCGAUGUGCUUGAGUAGCAGAAGGAGCAACUGCGUUGUGAGAGGGCCACGGCUUCAGCCCUCACAAUGAUAGCUGAUUAGCUGAAGUAAUGAA